Pygocentrus nattereri (red-bellied piranha) is the source of this 153-nucleotide small nuclear RNA. Its record names the gene U12. It matches the Rfam family "U12 minor spliceosomal RNA". From Rfam's summary of the family: Although the U12 sequence is very divergent from that of U2, the two are functionally analogous. The record is from Ensembl. NCBI's taxonomy places the organism in Eukaryota, Metazoa, Chordata, Actinopteri, Characiformes, Serrasalmidae.
AUGCCUUAAACUGAUGAGUAAGGAAAAUAACAACAUGGGGUAAUUUCUGUGUGCUUGCUUACUUUGUAAGUUGAAUUUUUGAGAGGGUACAGGUCUCUGUACAAAGGAACUCACCUACUUUGUGAGAAGCUUUGUACAAGUAGGAUUUGCCCU